Non-coding RNA from Candidatus Roizmanbacteria bacterium, 72 nucleotides. The record is from Rfam. NCBI's taxonomy places the organism in Bacteria, Candidatus Roizmaniibacteriota.
GUCCCCGUAGCUCAAUGUAAGAGCGUCUGGUUCGGAGCCAGAAGGUUCCAGGUUCAAGUCCUGGCGGGGGCA